This 446-nucleotide ribosomal RNA is filed under the name uncultured bacterium. Its description in RNAcentral is "partial 16S ribosomal RNA". It matches the Rfam family "Bacterial small subunit ribosomal RNA", at positions 338 to 795 of the family's 1533-position model. The record is from RNAcentral.
CCUACGGGUGGCAGCAGUCGAGAAUCAUUCACAAUGGGGGAAACCCUGAUGGUGCGACGCCGCGUGGGGGAAUGAAGGUCUUCGGAUUGUAAACCCCUGUCAUGUGGGAGCAAAUUAAAAAGAUAGUACCACAAGAGGAAGAGACGGCUAACUCUGUGCCAGCAGCCGCGGUAAUAAAGAGGUCUCAAGCGUUGUUCGGAAUCACUGGGCGUAAAGCGUGCGUAGGCUGUUUCGUAAGUCGUGUGUGAAAGGCGCGGCCGCAACCCGCGGACGGCACAUGAUACUGCGAGACUAGAGUAAUGGAGGGGGAACCGGAAUUCUCGGUGUAGCAGUGAAAUGCGUAGAUAUCGAGAGGAACACUCGUGGCGAAGGCGGGUUCCUGGACAUUAACUGACGCUGAGGCACGAAGGCCAGGGGAGCGAAAGGGAUUAGAUACCCUUGUAGUC